This 497-nucleotide ribosomal RNA is filed under the name uncultured bacterium. Its description in RNAcentral is "partial 16S ribosomal RNA". It matches the Rfam family "Bacterial small subunit ribosomal RNA", at positions 28 to 507 of the family's 1533-position model. The record is from RNAcentral.
GAUGAACGCUGGCGGCGUGCUUAAUACAUGCAAGUCGAGCGAACGGACUACAAUCUUGCUUCUCUGAUGUUAGCGGCGGACGGGUUAGUAAUACGUAGAUAACCUAUCUAUAAGACUUUGAUUACUUCUGGAAACCGUAGUUAAUACCGGUUAAUCUUUUUACCCGCAUGGUUCAACAGUGUAAGACGGUCUUGCUGUCACUUAUAGAUGUAUCCGCGCUGCAUUAGCUAGUUGGUAAGGUAACGGCUUACCAAGGCAACGAUGCAUAGCCGACCUGAGAGGGGGAUCGGCCACACUGGAACUGAGACACGGUCCAGACUCCUACGGGAGGCAGCAGUAGGGAAUGUUCCGCAAUGGGCGAAAGCCUGACGGAGCAACGCCGCGUGAGUGAUGAAGGUCUUCGGAUCGUAAAACUCUGUUAUUAGGGAAGAACAUAUGUGUAAGUAACUAUGCACAUCUUGACGGUACCUAAUCAGAAAGCCACGGCUAACUACGUG